GGAUAUUGCACAAUGGGCGCAAGCCUGAUGCAGCGACGCCGCGUGGGUGAAGAAGGUUUUCGGAUCGUAAAGCCCUGUUCUGCGUGACGAGAAGAGACGGUAGCGCAGGAGAAAGUGUCGGCUAACUACGUGCCAGCAGCCGCGGUAAAACGUAGGACGCAAACGUUAUCCGGAAUUACUGGGCGUAAAGGGCGCGCAGGCGGGUCUGUAAGUGAGGCAUGAAAGCCCCAGGCUAAACCUGGGGAGGCUG
This 250-nucleotide ribosomal RNA is filed under the name uncultured bacterium. RNAcentral's name for it is "partial 16S ribosomal RNA". It matches the Rfam family "Bacterial small subunit ribosomal RNA", at positions 359 to 625 of the family's 1533-position model. The record is from RNAcentral.